This 395-nucleotide ribosomal RNA is filed under the name uncultured bacterium. RNAcentral's name for it is "bacterial SSU rRNA". It matches the Rfam family "Bacterial small subunit ribosomal RNA", at positions 505 to 898 of the family's 1533-position model. The record is from RNAcentral.
GUGCCAGCAGCCGCGGUAAUACGGAGGGUGCAAACGUUGCUCGGAAUCAUUGGGCGUAAAGCGCAUGUAGGCGGCUUGUUAAGUCGGGUGUGAAAGCCCAGGGCUCAACCCUGGAAGUGCAUUCGAAACUGGCGAGCUUGAAUAUGGACGAGGGUCGCGGAAUUCCCGGUGUAGAGGUGAAAUUCGUAGAUAUCGGGAGGAACACCAGUGGCGAAGGCGGCGACCUGGGCCAAUAUUGACGCUAAGAUGCGAAAGCGUGGGGAGCAAACAGGAUUAGAUACCCUGGUAGUCCACGCCGUAAACGAUGGAUGCUAGAUGUGGUGGGUAUUGACCCCUGCCGCGUCGCAGCUAACGCAAUAAGCAUCCCGCCUGGGGAGUACGGCCGCAAGGCUAAA